RNAcentral lists this small RNA (1139 nucleotides) under Arabidopsis thaliana (thale cress). RNAcentral's name for it is "ATSL187170". Lineage: Eukaryota; Viridiplantae; Streptophyta; Magnoliopsida; Brassicales; Brassicaceae. The record is from RNAcentral.
UUUUUGGCAAAACAAAGACAAUAACAUUUAUGAGGAGACCUUUUUUCUAAAUCAUACAGAAUAUAUAUACUAAAGAGUAUUUUGAAGCUGUAUUAAUGAUCCCAUUACCCAAAUUAUAUGAUACAAUAAAAGAAUAUACCCCCAAAAGAAAACAAUGCAAAGUAAAUCAUCUUAACACCUAAUUCUUCUUUCUAAAGAUUGAUUAGAUUCACUAUUCAUGUUUUUCAUCUCUUCAUUGUCUUGUCCGUAGCAGCCGAUCACCAAUCGUUCUCAACUCGAACGUUCUCACAGCAAGGCCAACAUCACGGAUUGUAGUGUCUAGCACAUAAGGAGUGCGUGCUCGCGGCGCUGAGAGAUCGAACCAUGGUAAUGGAAGUAACGGAUUUUGCUCUCAGCCUUGUGCUAUGUCUUCCCUUGUAGAUUCUGAGACAUGUGUACGCCUAUCGCGAAUACAUUCUCCGGCUGGACCGCGUAUUUCCGAUCCCGUCUUGGAACCUUCUUGACGUCUCUAUAUGCCAGUUUCUCAAUUCCCCAUUUUCUGAAACACAAAACCAAAAUACCAUUUAGAUUAGUCCCUGAACUAAACCAAAUCAAUAACCGAUAUGUUCCCUCCUAAAAACAGAAAAUAUACAAACCAAUUACAAUUCAAUAUUUGGUACAAACAAAAGAAAUAAUCUUUACAACAUUUCUCACUAAUAUCAUGUGAUAUUCAAUAAAAGCAAAGAUCGUGACCGACAUAGGAGACUAAUACAGAAUGCACAAAGACUUUUACAAGCCAAGUGUUGACAGAAUCAGAUGCUUAUUGAUAUUAUAUGUCACCUUCAAAAAACUUGUGACUAAUAUUCUAAGUCACUCAAUAAACAACACAUGGGCUUUGGUUAACGUUCAAUCAUUAAAAUCAACAAAGUUAUGAAUGUUACCUGUAAGUUCUGGCCGGGCCAUCACCGGAAUAACAAACCCGACUACUCAUAGGCAUCAGUUCAAUAGUAAACUGAAAAUAUUCCUCCAAAGAUUCCAUCACAGACGAAAUCGUCUCUUUCACCGGAACAUGUAAAAACUCAUCAACAUCAAAGAAGAACAUCCACUUCGUCAUGAAUACCUAUGCAAACAAUCAUUCACUAUCAUGAAUUGAUUAUGAU